UAUAUACUUCCUCCGUCUCAUAUUAAGUGUCAAAGUAUUAUAUAUAUCUAGACGUAUUUUAAUAUACAAAUACGUCCAUAUUUAGACAAAUUUGAGUCAUUAAAUAUGGGACGGAGGGAGUAGAUG
Molecule: non-coding RNA, 126 nt
Organism: Brachypodium distachyon (stiff brome)
Lineage: Eukaryota; Viridiplantae; Streptophyta; Magnoliopsida; Poales; Poaceae
Source: Rfam